CGUGUGCUUACAAGUAGUCAGAGCCCGUUAAUGGGUGAUGGCGUGCCUUUUGUAGAAUGAACCGGCGAGUUACGAUUUGAUGCAAGGUUAAGCAGUAAAUGUGGAGCCGUAGCGAAAGCGAGUCUGAAUAGGGCGUUUAGUAUUUGGUCGUAGACCCGAAACCAGGUGAUCUACCCUUGGUCAGGUUGAAGUUCAGGUAACACUGAAUGGAGGACCGAACCGACUUACGUUGAAAAGUGAGCGGAUGAACUGAGGGUAGCGGAGAAAUUCCAAUCGAACCUGGAGAUAGCUGGUUCUCUCCGAAAUAGCUUUAGGGCUAGCCUCAAGUGAUGAUUAUUGGAGGUAGAGCACUGUUUGGACGAGGGGCCCCUCUCGGGUUACCGAAUUCAGACAAACUCCGAAUGCCAAUUAAUUUAACUUGGGAGUCAGAACAUGGGUGAUAAGGUCCGUGUUCGAAAGGGAAACAGCCCAGACCACCAGCUAAGGUCCCAAAAUAUAUGUUAAGUGGAAAAGGAUGUGGCGUUGCCCAGACAACUAGGAUGUUGGCUUAGAAGCAGCCAUCAUUUAAAGAGUGCGUAAUAGCUCACUAGUCGAGUGACACUGCGCCGAAAAUGUACCGGGGCUAAACAUAUUACCGAAGCUGUGGAUUGUCCUUUGGACAAUGGUAGGAGAGCGUUCUAAGGGCGUUGAAGCAUGAUCGUAAGGACAUGUGGAGCGCUUAGAAGUGAGAAUGCCGGUGUGAGUAGCGAAAGACGGGUGAGAAUCCCGUCCACCGAUUGACUAAGGUUUCCAG
RNAcentral lists this ribosomal RNA (793 nucleotides) under Staphylococcus aureus. RNAcentral's name for it is "partial 23S ribosomal RNA". It matches the Rfam family "Bacterial large subunit ribosomal RNA", at positions 557 to 1357 of the family's 2925-position model. Lineage: Bacteria; Bacillati; Bacillota; Bacilli; Caryophanales; Staphylococcaceae. The record is from RNAcentral.